UACCUAUAUUGCUGGUUUGGGAAGAACUGCUGCUUCAUAUAAACCAAAGCAAUUCACCUCAUAAAAUGAAAUUAUGAGUAGGGUUUUGAUUUGGGUAGAAAGAUGAACACGAUUUGGGUUUCGAAAUUGCAGAAGGAAGAACGAUGAACACGAUUUGCGUAGUGUUAGGGUUUCAGAAGGACGAACGAUGGAGUUUUGUUGUUUCAGAGCUCUCAGCGCGCAAAGAUUUGGGAUGAUAGAUGAGAUAGGCUAGGUUUUUG
Molecule: long non-coding RNA, 260 nt
Filed under: Trifolium pratense (red clover)
Lineage: Eukaryota; Viridiplantae; Streptophyta; Magnoliopsida; Fabales; Fabaceae
Description: long non-coding RNA (TPRA_LNC006535)
Source: RNAcentral